RNAcentral lists this transfer RNA (72 nucleotides) under human gut metagenome. It matches the Rfam family "tRNA". Rfam says of the family: Transfer RNA (tRNA) molecules are approximately 80 nucleotides in length. Their secondary structure includes four short double-helical elements and three loops (D, anti-codon, and T loops). The record is from RNAcentral. RNAcentral also lists the same sequence under 1 other name.
GAGGCAUGGCUCAGCUGGUUAGAGCGUUGCGUUCACAUCGCAAAGGUCGUGGGUUCGAGUCCCUCUGCCUCC